ACGUCAGUAGUUCAAUGGCAGAACAACGGUCUCCAAAACCGUAGAUAUAGGUUCGAAUCCUUUCUUUCGUG
This 71-nucleotide transfer RNA is filed under the name Flavobacterium anhuiense. RNAcentral's name for it is "tRNA-Trp". It matches the Rfam family "tRNA". From Rfam's summary of the family: Transfer RNA (tRNA) molecules are approximately 80 nucleotides in length. Their secondary structure includes four short double-helical elements and three loops (D, anti-codon, and T loops). Further hydrogen bonds mediate the characteristic L-shaped molecular structure. tRNAs have two regions of fundamental functional importance: the anti-codon, which is responsible for specific mRNA codon recognition, and the 3' end, to which the tRNAs corresponding amino acid is attached (by aminoacyl-tRNA synthetases). tRNAs cope with the degeneracy of the genetic code in two manners: having more than one tRNA (with a specific anti-codon) for a particular amino acid; and 'wobble' base-pairing, i.e. permitting non-standard base-pairing at the 3rd anti-codon position. Lineage: Bacteria; Pseudomonadati; Bacteroidota; Flavobacteriia; Flavobacteriales; Flavobacteriaceae. The record is from RNAcentral.